Molecule: long non-coding RNA, 159 nt
Organism: Hibiscus syriacus
Lineage: Eukaryota; Viridiplantae; Streptophyta; Magnoliopsida; Malvales; Malvaceae
Exons: 3
Source: RefSeq, a predicted model, not a curated record
UUGUUCACAACAGCACGUGCCUAGUUACACGAUGAACAUUGAUAAGUUCAAGGCUAAAGGAAUCGACUCUGUCAUUUGUGUGUUCGUUAAUGAUCCUUAUGCUAUGAAUGCUUGGGCAAGGAAAUUGAGAGCUAAAGAUGUGAUUGAAUUUUAUGGAAU